RNAcentral lists this transfer RNA (72 nucleotides) under Marmota marmota marmota (Alpine marmot). It matches the Rfam family "tRNA". From Rfam's summary of the family: Transfer RNA (tRNA) molecules are approximately 80 nucleotides in length. RNAcentral also lists the same sequence under 1 other name. The record is from Rfam by way of RNAcentral. Lineage: Eukaryota; Metazoa; Chordata; Mammalia; Rodentia; Sciuridae.
GGAGAUGUAGCUCAGUGGUAGAGCGCUUGCCUAGCAUGUGUGAGGCAAUGAAUUCGAUCUUCAGCAUCACAU